Molecule: ribosomal RNA, 464 nt
Filed under: Vreelandella stevensii
Lineage: Bacteria; Pseudomonadati; Pseudomonadota; Gammaproteobacteria; Oceanospirillales; Halomonadaceae
Description: partial 16S ribosomal RNA
Rfam family: Bacterial small subunit ribosomal RNA
Source: RNAcentral
CCUACGGGCGGCAGCAGUGGGGAAUAUUGGACAAUGGGCGAAAGCCUGAUCCAGCCAUGCCGCGUGUGUGAAGAAGGCCUUCGGGUUGUAAAGCACUUUCAGUGGGGAAGAAAGCCUUGGGGCUAAUACCCUCGAGGAAGGACAUCACCCACAGAAGAAGCACCGGCUAACUCCGUGCCAGCAGCCGCGGUAAUACGGAGGGUGCGAGCGUUAAUCGGAAUUACUGGGCGUAAAGCGCGCGUAGGCGGUCUGAUAAGCCGGUUGUGAAAGCCCCGGGCUCAACCUGGGAACGGCAUCCGGAACUGUCAGGCUAGAGUGCAGGAGAGGAAGGUAGAAUCCCCGGUGUAGCGGUGAAAUGCGUAGAGAUCGGGGGGAAUACCAGUGGCGAAGGCGGCCUUCUGGACUGCCACUGACGCUGAGGUGCGAAAGCGUGGGUAGCAAACAGGAUUAGAUACCCAGUAGUC